RNAcentral lists this ribosomal RNA (253 nucleotides) under uncultured bacterium. RNAcentral describes it as "partial 16S ribosomal RNA". It matches the Rfam family "Bacterial small subunit ribosomal RNA", at positions 524 to 776 of the family's 1533-position model. The record is from RNAcentral.
UACAGAGGUGGCAAGCGUUGUUCGGAAUUACUGGGCGUAAAGGGCGCGUAGGCGGUCUUGUCAGUCCCUUGUGAAAUCCCCCGGCUCAACUGGGGAACUGCACGGGAAACAGCAGGGCUUGAGUUCGGGAGAGGGAAGCGGAAUUCCGGGUGUAGCGGUGAAAUGCGUAGAUAUCAGGAGGAACACCGGUGGCGAAGGCGGGUCUCUGGGCCGAUACUGACGCUGAGGAGCGAAAGCGUGGGGAGCGAACAGG